This 600-nucleotide ribosomal RNA is filed under the name uncultured bacterium. RNAcentral describes it as "bacterial SSU rRNA". It matches the Rfam family "Bacterial small subunit ribosomal RNA", at positions 62 to 652 of the family's 1533-position model. The record is from RNAcentral.
UCGAACGCGAAAGUUUUCUUCGGAAAGCGAGUAGAGUGGCGCACGGGUGAGUAACGCGUAAGUAAUCUACCCUGGUAUCUGGGAUAACCAACCGAAAGGUUGGCUAAUACCGGAUACGCUGGUAACAGGAAAGGUGGCCUCUUCAUGAAAGCUACUGUACCAGGAGGAGCUUGCGUACCAUUAGCUAGUUGGUAGGGUAAUGGCCUACCAAGGCGACGAUGGUUAGCGGGUCUGAGAGGAUGAUCCGCCACACUGGAACUGGAACACGGACCAGACUCCUACGGGAGGCAGCAGUGAGGAAUAUUGCGCAAUGGGGGAAACCCUGACGCAGCGACGCCGCGUGGAUGAUGAAGGCCUUCGGGUCGUAAAAUCCUGUCAGAUGGAAAGAAGUGUAUAGAUGUUAAUAGCAUUUAUAUUUGACGGUACCAUCAAAGGAAGCACCGGCUAACUCCGUGCCAGCAGCCGCGGUAAUACGGAGGGUGCAAGCGUUGUUCGGAAUUACUGGGCGUAAAGCGCGCGUAGGCGGUUUUAUAAGUCAGAUGUGAAAGUCCACGGCUCAACCGUGGAAGUGCAUUUGAAACUGUAUUACUUGAGUACUGG